UGGGGAAUUUUGGACAAUGGGCGAAAGCCUGAUCCAGCAAUGCCGCGUGUGUGAAGAAGGCCUUCGGGUUGUAAAGCACUUUUGUCCGGAAAGAAAUCCUUGGCUCUAAUACAGUCGGGGGAUGACGGUACCGGAAGAAUAAGCACCGGCUAACUACGUGCCAGCAGCCGCGGUAAUACGUAGGGUGCAAGCGUUAAUCGGAAUUACUGGGCGUAAAGCGUGCGCAGGCGGUUUGCUAAGACCGAUGUGAAAUCCCCGGGCUCAACCUGGGAACUGCAUUGGUGACUGGCAGGCUAGAGGUAUGGCAGAGGGGGGUAGAAUUCCACGUGUAGCAGUGAAAUGCGUAGAGAUGUGGAGGAAUACCGAUGGCGAAGGCAGCCCCCUGGGCCAAUACUGACGCUCAUGCACGAAAGCGUGGGGAGCAAACAGGAUUAGAUACCCUGGUAGUCCACGCCCUAAACGAUGUCAACUAGUUGUUGGGGAUUCAUUUCCUUAGUAACGUAGCUAACGCGUGAAGUUGACCGCCUGGGGAGUACGGUCGCAAGAUUAAAACUCAAAUGAAUUGACGGGGUCAUAGCUG
Molecule: ribosomal RNA, 580 nt
Filed under: uncultured bacterium
Lineage: Bacteria
Description: partial 16S ribosomal RNA
Rfam family: Bacterial small subunit ribosomal RNA
Source: RNAcentral